UACGUAGGGUGCGAGCGUUAAUCGGAAUUACUGGGCGUAAAACGUGCGCAGGCGGUUUUGUAAGCCAGAUGUGAAAGCCCCGGGCUCAACCUGGGAAUGGCAUUUGGGACUGCAAGGCUUGAGUGCGGCAGAGGAGACUGGAAUUCCUGGUGUAGCAGUGAAAUGCGUAGAUAUCAGGAGGAAUACCGAUGGCGAAGGCAGGUCUCUGGGCUGACACUGACGCUCAUGCACGAAAGCGUGGGGAGCAAACAGG
RNAcentral lists this ribosomal RNA (253 nucleotides) under uncultured bacterium. RNAcentral's name for it is "partial 16S ribosomal RNA". It matches the Rfam family "Bacterial small subunit ribosomal RNA", at positions 524 to 776 of the family's 1533-position model. The record is from RNAcentral.